RNAcentral lists this ribosomal RNA (433 nucleotides) under uncultured bacterium. RNAcentral's name for it is "partial 16S ribosomal RNA". It matches the Rfam family "Bacterial small subunit ribosomal RNA", at positions 29 to 507 of the family's 1533-position model. The record is from RNAcentral.
AACGAACGCUGGCGGCAUGCCUAACACAUGCAAGUCGAACGAGACCUUCGGGUCUAGUGGCGCACGGGUGCGUAACGCGUGGGAACCUGCCCUUAGGUUCGGAAUAACUCCCCGAAAGGGGUGCUAAUACCGGAUAAUGUCUUCGGACCAAAGAUUUAUCGCCUUUGGAUGGGCCCGCGUUGGAUUAGCUAGUUGGUAGGGUAAAAGCCUACCAAGGCGACGUUCCAUAGCUGGUCUGAGAGGAUGAUCAGCCGCACUGGGACUGCGACACGGCCCAGACUCCUACGGAAGGCAGCAGUAGGGAAUAUUGGACAAGGAGCGAAAGCCUGAUCCAGCAAUGCCGCGUGAGUGAUCAAGGCCUUAGGGUUGUAAAGCUCUUUUACCCGAGAUGAUAAUGACAGUACCGGGAGAAUAAGCUCCGGCUAACUCCGUG